RNAcentral lists this ribosomal RNA (1971 nucleotides) under human gut metagenome. Its description in RNAcentral is "bacterial LSU rRNA". It matches the Rfam family "Bacterial large subunit ribosomal RNA", at positions 1 to 1985 of the family's 2925-position model. The record is from RNAcentral.
GUGAACAAUUAAGGGCGCGCGGUGGAUGCCUAGGCUCUCGGAGGCGAAGAAGGACGCGAUAAGCCGCGAUAGUCCACGGCGAGGUGCAAGUAACCCUUGACCCGUGGGUUUCCGAAUGGGGCAACCCGGCCGUCUAGAUGACGGUCAUGCAUUAUCAUGCAGGCGAACGCGGGGAACUGAAACAUCUCAUUACCCGCAGGAGAAGAAAACAAAAUGUGAUUCCCCCAGUAGUGGCGAGCGAACGGGGAAGAGCCCAAACCGGUAGCGUUUCGGCGAUACCGGGGUCAUGGGACCACGCCAUUCGAAACAAGAUGAAGUGCAAUUACCUGGAAAGGUAAGCCGCGGAGGGUGAUAGCCCCGUGCACGUCAAUUCUUGUGGAGAUAGUGGAAUCCCGAGUAGGGCGGGACACGAGAAAUCCUGCCUGAAUUCGCCAGGACCUCCUGGCAAGGCUAAAUACUCCCGAGAGACCGAUAGUGAACCAGUACCGCGAGGGAAAGGUGAAAAGUACCCCGAGCAGGGGGGUGAAAUAGACCCUGAACCCGCGCGCCUACAAGCGGUCGGAGCUGCCUUGUGCAGUGACGGCGUGCCUUUUGCAUAAUGAGCCUACGAGUUAGUCGUCACCAGCGAGGUUAAGGGCUUCAGGCCCGAUAGCCGAAGUGAAAGCGAGCCUUAACAGGGCGUAAAGUUGGUGGCGCUAGACGCGAAACCUUGUGAUCUACCCACGAGCAGGUUGAAGUCGCGGUAACACGUGAUGGAGGACCGAACCGGUAAACGUUGAAAAGUUUUCGGAUGACUCGCGGGUAGGGGUGAAAGGCCAAUCAAACUGGGAAAUAGCUCGUACUCUCCGAAAUGCAUUUCGGUGCAGCCUGUGAUGUUCUGUUCCAGAGGUAGAGCUACUGGUUGGACGCGAGGGCUUCACCGCCUAUCAAAUCCGGAUAAACUCCGAAUGCUGGAACACGAAAUCAUGGAGUGAGCCCGCGGGUGCUAAGGUCCGCGGACGAGAGGGAAAGAACCCGGACCACCGGCUAAGGUCCCGGAUGGACAGUUAAGUUGAUCAAACGAGGUGGGAUCGCGGAGACAGCUAGGAUGUUGGCUUGGAAGCAGCCAUUCAUUUAAAGAGUGCGUAACAGCUCACUAGUCGAGCGAUCCCGCGUGGAUAAUACACGGGCAUCAAACUGUCAACCGAAGCCGUGGGGUCAGCGAGAAGCUGACCGGUAGGAGAGCAUUCCUGCCAGCGUUGAAGGUCACCCGCGAGAGUGACUGGAGCGGCAUGAAAAGCAAAUGUAGGCAUAAGUAACGAUAAUGGGGGCGAGAACCCCCCACGCCGCAAGACCAAGGCUUCCCCGGCAAUGUCAAUCAGCCGGGGGUCAGCCGGCCUCUAAGGCUAACCCGAAGGGGGAUGCCGACGAGAAACGGGUUAACAUUCCCGUGCUUCUCGUCACCGUGACGCGGUGACGGGGUGAUGAAUGGACCGCGCGCUGACGGAAUAGCGCGUUGAAGGCCGUACCCUUCGAGGGUGGUAGUCAAGCACGCCACCCGAGGCGAUAGCCGAUAGUACCACGAGACUCCGGUCGAGUGGAUAGCGUCCAGGCAAUUUACCCCCGAGAAAACCCGCUAAACUUCAAGUGACGAGGAACCGUACUGUAAACGGACACACGUGGUCGGGUAGAACAUACCAAGGCGCUCGAGUGAUUCAUGGUCAAGGAACUAGGCAAAAUAGUCCUGUAACUUCGGGAAAAAGGACGCUCUAGUGAUAGAGCCGCAGAGUAAUGGCCCAGGCGACUGUUUACCAAAAACACAUGGCUAUGCCAAAUCGAAAGAUGACGUAUAUGGCCUGACACCUGCCCGGUGCCGGAAGGUUAAGAGGAGAGCUCAUCGGAAACGAGAAGGUUUGAAUUGAAGCCCCGGUAAACGGCGGCCGUAACUAUAACGGUCCUAAGGUAGCGAAAUUCCUUGUCGGGUAAGUUCCG